Molecule: ribosomal RNA, 1639 nt
Filed under: Escherichia coli
Lineage: Bacteria; Pseudomonadati; Pseudomonadota; Gammaproteobacteria; Enterobacterales; Enterobacteriaceae
Description: partial 23S ribosomal RNA
Rfam family: Bacterial large subunit ribosomal RNA
Source: RNAcentral
AUAAUGGGUCAGCGACUUAUAUUCUGUAGCAAGGUUAACCGAAUAGGGGAGCCGAAGGGAAACCGAGUCUUAACUGGGCGUUAAGUUGCAGGGUAUAGACCCGAAACCCGGUGAUCUAGCCAUGGGCAGGUUGAAGGUUGGGUAACACUAACUGGAGGACCGAACCGACUAAUGUUGAAAAAUUAGCGGAUGACUUGUGGCUGGGGGUGAAAGGCCAAUCAAACCGGGAGAUAGCUGGUUCUCCCCGAAAGCUAUUUAGGUAGCGCCUCGUGAAUUCAUCUCCGGGGGUAGAGCACUGUUUCGGCAAGGGGGUCAUCCCGACUUACCAACCCGAUGCAAACUGCGAAUACCGGAGAAUGUUAUCACGGGAGACACACGGCGGGUGCUAACGUCCGUCGUGAAGAGGGAAACAACCCAGACCGCCAGCUAAGGUCCCAAAGUCAUGGUUAAGUGGGAAACGAUGUGGGAAGGCCCAGACAGCCAGGAUGUUGGCUUAGAAGCAGCCAUCAUUUAAAGAAAGCGUAAUAGCUCACUGGUCGAGUCGGCCUGCGCGGAAGAUGUAACGGGGCUAAACCAUGCACCGAAGCUGCGGCAGCGACGCUGAUGCGUUGUUGGGUAGGGGAGCGUUCUGUAAGCCUGUGAAGGUGUACUGUGAGGUAUGCUGGAGGUAUCAGAAGUGCGAAUGCUGACAUAAGUAACGAUAAAGCGGGUGAAAAGCCCGCUCGCCGGAAGACCAAGGGUUCCUGUCCAACGUUAAUCGGGGCAGGGUGAGUCGACCCCUAAGGCGAGGCCGAAAGGCGUAGUCGAUGGGAAACAGGUUAAUAUUCCUGUACUUGGUGUUACUGCGAAGGGGGGACGGAGAAGGCUAUGUUGGCCGGGCGACGGUUGUCCCGGUUUAAGCGUAUAGGCUGGUUUUCCAGGCAAAUCCGGAAAAUCAAGGCUGAGGCGUGAUGACGAGGCACUACGGUGCUGAAGCAACAAAUGCCCUGCUUCCAGGAAAAGCCUCUAAGCAUCAGGUAACAUCAAAUCGUACCCCAAACCGACACAGGUGGUCAGGUAGAGAAUACCAAGGCGCUUGAGAGAACUCGGGUGAAGGAACUAGGCAAAAUGGUGCCGUAACUUCGGGAGAAGGCACGCUGAUAUGUAGGUGAAGUCCCUCGCGGAUGGAGCUGAAAUCAGUCGAAGAUACCAGCUGGCUGCAACUGUUUAUUAAAAACACAGCACUGUGCAAACACGAAAGUGGACGUAUACGGUGUGACGCCUGCCCGGUGCCGGAAGGUUAAUUGAUGGGGUCAGCGCAAGCGAAGCUCUUGAUCGAAGCCCCGGUAAACGGCGGCCGUAACUAUAACGGUCCUAAGGUAGCGAAAUUCCUUGUCGGGUAAGUUCCGACCUGCACGAAUGGCGUAAUGAUGGCCAGGCUGUCUCCACCCGAGACUCAGUGAAAUUGAACUCGCUGUGAAGAUGCAGUGUACCCGCGGCAAGACGGAAAGACCCCGUGAACCUUUACUAUAGCUUGACACUGAACAUUGAGCCUUGAUGUGUAGGAUAGGUGGGAGGCUUUGAAGUGUGGACGCCAGUCUGCAUGGAGCCGACCUUGAAAUACCACCCUUUAAUGUUUGAUGUUCUAACGUGGACCCGU